This is a small nucleolar RNA of Ctenopharyngodon idella (grass carp), 99 nucleotides long. RefSeq annotates it as small nucleolar RNA SNORD16. Lineage: Eukaryota; Metazoa; Chordata; Actinopteri; Cypriniformes; Xenocyprididae. The transcript has a single exon. The record is from RefSeq and is a predicted model, not a curated record.
UGCUGUGAUGGUGUAAUUUGCGUCCUACUCUACGCACAGCGACAGUUGCCUGCUGUCUCAUGCUGGUGUGGAAGGUUGACGAAAAAGCAAGUCUGAGCA